GAUGAACGCUGGCGGCGUGCUUAACACAUGCAAGUCGAACGGACAGGCCCUGCUUUUGCGGGGUGCUCGAGUGGGGAAGGGGGGAGUAACACGCGUGUAACCUCCCCUUGUCUGUGGGGUAACAUCUGGAAACUGGGGCUAAAAUCCGAUAGGAGUUCUUGCUCCAUGGUGGGCGUUGGAAAGUUUCGGCUGUGCGGGAUGGACUCGCUGCUUAUCGGCUUGCUUGUGAGGUAGUUGCUUACCAAGGUUUUGACGGGUAGCCGGCCUGGGAGGGUGACCGGCGUCAUUGGGACUGAGAUACGGCGCAGACUCCUAUGGGACGCAGCAGUGGGGAGUAUUGCACAGUAGGCGCGAGCGAGAUAUGGCGGCCCCGCGUGCGUGAUGACGGCCUACGGGUUAUGAACAACUGUCGCAUGUGACGAAGCGUGAGUGACGGUAAUGAGUAAGAAAGCCCCGGCUAACUACGUG
Molecule: ribosomal RNA, 468 nt
Filed under: uncultured bacterium
Lineage: Bacteria
Description: partial 16S ribosomal RNA
Rfam family: Bacterial small subunit ribosomal RNA
Source: RNAcentral